Molecule: long non-coding RNA, 1426 nt
Filed under: Mytilus galloprovincialis (Mediterranean mussel)
Lineage: Eukaryota; Metazoa; Mollusca; Bivalvia; Mytilida; Mytilidae
Source: RNAcentral
GUGCAAUUAUUUUAUAGGUAGUCUUACAGGGAAAACUAUCUAAAAAAAAAUUUAAACAAAAUCUUGCUUAAACAGAAAUCCAAUCUAAACUAAACUGUUUUUCUAUGUUGUGAUGUUAUGCUAUUGUUUCAGAAAAAGGGAGAAGGUUUGGAUCCAUUAAAACGUUUAAUCCCACUGCAAAUGUUUGCACCUGUCCUAAGUCAGGAAUCGGAUGUACAGUAGUUGUCGUUUGUUUAUGUAAUUUAUACAUGUUUCUCGUUUCUUGUUUAUUUAUUUUUUUGUUGGUUUUCCUGUUUGAAUGGUUUUACACUAGUAAUUUUGGGGCCCUUUAUAGCUUGUUGUUCGGUGUGAGCCAAGGCUCCGUGUUGAAGGCCCUACAUUGACCUAUAAUGGUUUACUUUUUUUAAAUUGUUAUUUGGAUGGAGAGUUGUCUCAUUGGCACUCACACCACAUCUUCCUAUAUCUAUUGAUCUAAAUUCCAGUCAUAUCAAAAUGUAUGUGCUGUUAACCUGAUUUAACUGAACAUCUGCCAAAGCCAAAUAAAAACUUAAGUCUUCAAAGUAAGGUUUACACAGGUUUCACUGUACUUUCAUAUGUUAUUGAAAAAUCUUGGCACUAUUAAAUCAUUCCUGGCAACUUUUUUUUUCAGGUAAUCAGCAUGGUCACAUAAAAAUCCAAUGUAAUUUUCAAAAUGCUCUUAUGUAAUUCAUAUACUACAAUUAAUUUUCACUAAGUUAAAUCAAUUCUAGAAUUCAAAAAUUCAAGUAAAAUAUAUCAAAAGCAACAUUAUAUGAAAUACAACAAAUUGAAAUGAACAACACUUAAAAGUUUUAAACUAUGACAUACAAAAUUCUAAAAGAUAUGUAAAUAAAUUCUUCUAACUAAGCUAUAUAAGAUGUUAAUUUUCUCAAAAUUUCACAAAAAAAUCAAAUAAGAAAAAUAUCCUGCUGCGUGAACUGAUCUUUUUCUAGAAGAUCAGAAAUGAAUAUGAAAACAUGAAAUAAAUUCUAGAAAUUAUAGAAUUCAAACUUAAAUGCAAUGAACAAUCAAGCUGUCAAAAAAAUCUGUUAUAAUUUUGAAUUCUGAAAAAUUGAUAAGAAAUAUAUGUAUGAAGAAAACUUACACAAUUUUAUAGGAGAGUAAGCCAUGUAUAAUACAUUAAUGGCUAAAAAAAGAGGGGGCUGGGCUAUGUUAUAUCAUACUAUAAUAUAAUUGACAGUAAAAUAACCCUAACCUUAUUUAGUUCAGGAUUAGCUGGGUUAGUUUUCAUUGUACAUUCUUAACAAUUUUCCCGAAUUCAAAAUUGUUCCAAAUUCAAAUGAUUCCUUGUUAACAGUUCAUAGAGCUGUAUUUCUAAUAUUUUUUUUUAAUUGCAGAAAUAAUCAUAAUCUCACAUGGUACAAAAAAAAAUCUCAUUUUAAAGUAC